GGGGGAGGGUAGGGAGGGAGGGUUAGAAGGAAUACUUAAUCCUAUCCCAGGUAUUCCUUAAAGAGGUGGGGUUUCAGGUGUCUCCGGAAGGUGGUGAUUGACUCCGCUGUCCUGAAGUCGUGAGGGAGCUUGUUCCACCAUUGGGGUGCCAGAGCAGCGAACAGUUUUGACUGGGCUGAGCGGGAACUACAGUGCCUUGCGAAAGUAUUCGGAAAGUAUUCGGCCCCCUUGAACUUUUCGACCUUUUGCCACAUUUCAGGCUUCAAACAUAAAGAUAUAAAACUGUAAUUUUUUGUGAAGAAUCAACAACAAGUGGGACACAAUUAUGAAGUGGAACGAAAUUUAUUGGAUAUUUCAAACUUUUUUAACAAAUAAAAAACGGAAAAAUUGGCCGUGCAAAAUUAUUCGAAUACUUUCGCAAGGCACUGUAUGCUUCCGCAGAGGUAGGUCGGCGAGCAGGCCAGAGGUGGAUGAACGCAAUGCCCUUCUUUAGGUGUAGGGACUGAUCAGAGCCUGAAGGUACGGAGGUGCCGUUUCCUUCACAGCUCCGUAGGCAAGCACCAUGGUCUUGUAGCAGAUGCGAGCUUCAACUGGAAGCCAGUGGAGUGUGCGGAGGAGCAGGGUGACGUGAGAGAACUUGGGAAGGUUGAACACCAGACAGGCUGCGGCGUUCUGGAUGAGUUGUAGGGGUUUAGUGGCACAGGCAGGGAGCCCCGCCAACAGCAAGUUGCAGUAAUCCAGACGGGAGAUGACAAGUGCCUGGAUUAGGACCUGCGCCGCUUCCUGUGUGAGGCAGGGUCGUACUCUGCGAAUGUUGUAGAGCAUGUACCUACAGGAUCGGGUCACCGCCUUGAUGUUAGCAGAGAACGACAGGGUGUUGUCCAGGGUCACGCCAAGGCUCUUAGCACUCUGGGAGGAGGACACAAUGGAGUUGUCAACCGUGAUGGCGAGAUCAUGGAACGGGCAGUCCUUCCCCGGGAGGAAGAGCAGCUCCGUCUUGCCGAGGUUCAGCUUGAGGUGGUGAUCCGUCAUCCACACUGAUAUGUCUGCCAGACAUGCAGAGAUGCGAUUCGUCAC
Molecule: long non-coding RNA, 1077 nt
Filed under: Salmo salar (Atlantic salmon)
Lineage: Eukaryota; Metazoa; Chordata; Actinopteri; Salmoniformes; Salmonidae
Description: lncRNA (ENSSSAG00000083772.1)
Source: RNAcentral